This 859-nucleotide ribosomal RNA is filed under the name uncultured Neocallimastigales. Its description in RNAcentral is "partial large subunit ribosomal RNA". It matches the Rfam family "Eukaryotic large subunit ribosomal RNA", at positions 1 to 644 of the family's 3401-position model. Lineage: Eukaryota; Fungi; Neocallimastigomycota; Neocallimastigomycetes; Neocallimastigales. The record is from RNAcentral.
CGCAUCUGUGCAUGCAGCAUAUCAAUAAGCGGAGGAAAAGUCAAUACCUACGCUUAGGAUGUUGACGCGCGUGUGUGCGUGAGUCUAUACAUGACUCUGUGCAUAUCAAUAAGCGGAGGAAAAGAAACUAACAAGGAUUCCCCUAGUAACGGCGAGUGAAGCGGGAAGAGCUCAAAUUUGAAAUCUUAAAGGGUUUCCCUUUACGAAUUGUAGUUUAAAGAAGUGUUUUCUGUUGAGGCUUUUGGUAAAAGUUCUUUGGAAUAGGACAUCAUAGAGGGUGAGAAUCCCGUAUUUGACCUUUACUUUCAACUUUGCGAUACACUUUCAAAGAGUCGGAUUGUUUGGGAAUGCAGUCCAAAAUGGGUGGUAAAUUUCAUCUAAAGCUAAAUAUUGGCGAGAGACCGAUAGCGAACAAGUACCGUGAGGGAAAGAUGAAAAGAACUUUGAAAAGAGAGUUAAACAGUACGUGAGAUUGUCAAAAGGGAAGCGUUUGACACCAGUGUUGUUUUUCUGAAAAUCAAUUAAAGAACUGUUUAUGCUAAGUUGUUUAGACUUUAUCAGCUAACUGUUUAGUUUUGAGCUUUUCUUUAAUGCACUUUUCAGUUAACAAGUCAACAUCAAUUUCUUUUGCUGUAAAAAAGCUUGAGGAAGGUGGCUUGAGAUUCGUCUUAAGUGUUUAUAGCCUCUUGCCUAUGCAGUCGGAGAGAUUGAGGUCUGCAGCGUAGAUCCUUCGGGGCUAAAUGCAUUUGUGCUAAGUUAUAGCAUUUUAUAGACAACUUGUUGACUAUGAUUUGUCUUGUAGCUUACUCGCUUAUGUUAUUUUACCUACGCUUAGGAUGUUGAAUCUGUGCGAGACUAC